RNAcentral lists this long non-coding RNA (346 nucleotides) under Carica papaya (papaya). RNAcentral's name for it is "long non-coding RNA (CPAP_LNC011392)". Lineage: Eukaryota; Viridiplantae; Streptophyta; Magnoliopsida; Brassicales; Caricaceae. The record is from RNAcentral.
CCUUGGCCAAAACAGCCGAGUAAGUACUGAGCUUGAACAUAUACAACUGCUGUCUGAUCUUAGGAUGGAGACCCCAAUCGAACUUUCUUACCAUCCUGCCUUCAUCCAUCAUGCUCUCAGGGGAAUACCGGCCCAACCCUAGGAACUUUUGAGUAUAUUCUGAUACAGUCAUGUCCCCCUGGACCAAGUAUGCAAACUCUAUUUCUUUCAGAUGUCGGAGAUGCUCUGGAAGGUACUCUACAUGAAAGACUAUCAAGAAUUAUUCUCAAGUGACUGGAACGGGUAGGGUGGCCUGCUUGAGUUGCCACUAGCGGUCUGCCUCUCCCACCAACAUGUAGAUAGCAAG